GUGGGGAAUAUUGCACAAUGGGCGAAAGCCUGAUGCAGCAACGCCGCGUGAGGGACGACGGCCUUCGGGUUGUAAACCUCUUUUAGUAGGGAAGAAGCGAAAGUGACGGUACCUGCAGAAAAAGCACCGGCUAACUACGUGCCAGCAGCCGCGGUAAUACGUAGGGUGCAAGCGUUGUCCGGAAUUAUUGGGCGUAAAGAGCUCGUAGGCGGUUUGUCGCGUCUGCUGUGAAAACCCGAGGCUCAACCUCGGGCCUGCAGUGGGUACGGGCAGACUAGAGUGCGGUAGGGGAGAUUGGAAUUCCUGGUGUAGCGGUGGAAUGCGCAGAUAUCAGGAGGAACACCGAUGGCGAAGGCAGAUCUCUGGGCCGUAACUGACGCUGAGGAGCGAAAGCAUGGGGAGCGAACAGGAUUAGAAACCCGAGUAGUCC
This 430-nucleotide ribosomal RNA is filed under the name uncultured Leifsonia sp. RNAcentral's name for it is "bacterial SSU rRNA". It matches the Rfam family "Bacterial small subunit ribosomal RNA", at positions 354 to 796 of the family's 1533-position model. The record is from RNAcentral. Lineage: Bacteria; Bacillati; Actinomycetota; Actinomycetes; Micrococcales; Microbacteriaceae.